GUAUAUUUAAUUAUUUAUUAUUUCAGAAUAAAUUAGCUCCUCACUUCGCUCGGGCAAGCGCUUAGCGCCUAGGGCAGUAGAGCACCUUCUCGCCUCCCUGCCUAGCGCUUUUGACAACACUGUGGGCACUGCUACCUCCAGAAACAUAGUCAUUACCAAAAAGUUAAUAAAAGGGAGUUCUAAAGUGUUUAAAGUGCUGCUAGCAACUGGGGCAAAAUGGCAAUUAAACAAAUUGUCAUAUUUGUUACUAAGGCAUUUCAAAAUUCAUGGUUAAUUUUCUCCAACCAAGGGAGAAUGAUACAGACUACAAGAAACUCAAGAAAA
Molecule: unclassified non-coding RNA, 324 nt
Filed under: Hevea brasiliensis (rubber tree)
Lineage: Eukaryota; Viridiplantae; Streptophyta; Magnoliopsida; Malpighiales; Euphorbiaceae
Source: RNAcentral